This 275-nucleotide ribosomal RNA is filed under the name uncultured Oomycota. RNAcentral describes it as "uncultured Oomycetes partial 28S ribosomal RNA". It matches the Rfam family "Eukaryotic large subunit ribosomal RNA", at positions 326 to 626 of the family's 3401-position model. Lineage: Eukaryota; Oomycota. The record is from RNAcentral.
GCGAGAGACCGAUAGCGAACAAGUACCGUGAGGGAAAGAUGCAAAGAACUUUGAAAAGAGAGUUAAAAAGUACCUGAAAUCGCUGAAAGGGAACCGAUUGCAACCAGUGUAGCUGGCUUCUAUUUUCCUGUUCUUUGGGACAGGUUAGUAGGUGUUAUGCUGGUCCACAUCAGUUUAAACUAUUGCAAACGUCCUUGGGGGAGGUAGGGUUUGGUUUCGGCUAAAUCUGUUAUAUCCCCAGGUGUACCGCAUGUGGUUGAGACUGAGGUGCCUAC